This 478-nucleotide ribosomal RNA is filed under the name Pseudobathylagus milleri. Its description in RNAcentral is "partial 16S ribosomal RNA". It matches the Rfam family "Bacterial large subunit ribosomal RNA", at positions 1985 to 2613 of the family's 2925-position model. The record is from RNAcentral. Lineage: Eukaryota; Metazoa; Chordata; Actinopteri; Argentiniformes; Bathylagidae.
GACCCGUAUGAAUGGCACAACGAGGGCUUUACUGUCUCCUUCUCUUCGUCAAUGAAAUUGAUCUCCCCGUGCAGAAGCGGGGAUAUAGACAUAAGACGAGAAGACCCUAUGGAGCUUUAGACAAAAGGCAGCCUACGUUAAAACCCCUGAAUCACCAGAACUAAGCACAGUAUCCCCUCGCCAACAUGUCUUCGGUUGGGGCGACCGCGGGGGAAGACCAAGCCCCCAUGUGGACUGGAAAAACUUUUUCCACAACCAAGAGUUACAACUCUAAGCAACAGAAUUUCUGACCAAAACGAUCCGGCUACUGCUGAUCAACGGACCAAGUUACCCUAGGGAUAACAGCGCAAUCCCCUUCCAGAGUCCCUAUCGACAAGGGGGUUUACGACCUCGAUGUUGGAUCAGGACAUCCUAAUGGUGCAACCGCUAUUAAGGGUUCGUUUGUUCAACGAUUAAAGUCCUACGUGAUCUGAGUUCA